AUUCCAGCUCCAAUAGCGUACAUUAAAGUUGUUGCAGUUAAAAAGCUCGUAGUUGGAUUUCUGGUGUCGCAGUGCUUCCGCGUGUUUAAUUACAUGUCGAGUUGUGUUUGCGUCGCCAUCUUUUAGCAGCACCUUCCUGGCAUUAGGUUGUUGGGUUGGUAAUGCUAAUCGUUUACUGUGAAGAAAUUAGAGUGUUCAAAGCAGGCUUAUGCCGUUGAAUACGUUAGCAUGGAAUAAUGAGAUAGGACCUUGAUACUAUUUUGUUGGUUUGCGCAUCAAGGUAACGAUUAAUAGGGUCAGUUGGGGGUAUUCGUAUUCCGUUGUCAGAGGUGAGAUUCUUGGAUUUAUGGAAGACAAACUAAUGCGAAAGCAUCUACCAAGGAUGUUUUCAUUG
Molecule: ribosomal RNA, 394 nt
Filed under: Leptocylindrus sp.
Lineage: Eukaryota; Bacillariophyta; Leptocylindrophyceae; Leptocylindrales; Leptocylindraceae
Description: partial small subunit ribosomal RNA
Rfam family: Eukaryotic small subunit ribosomal RNA
Source: RNAcentral